CACGUAGGGCGCAAGCGUUGUCCGGAAUUAUUGGGCGUAAAGAGCUCGUAGGCGGUUUGUCGCGUCUGCUGUGAAAACUGGAGGCUCAACCUCCAGCCUGCAGUGGGUACGGGCAAACUAGAGUGCGGUAGGGGAGAUUGGAAUUCCUGGUGUAGCGGUGGAAUGCGCAGAUAUCAGGAGGAACACCGAUGGCGAAGGCAGAUCUCUGGGCCGUAACUGACGCUGAGGAGCGAAAGCAUGGGGAGCGAACAGG
Molecule: ribosomal RNA, 253 nt
Filed under: uncultured bacterium
Lineage: Bacteria
Description: partial 16S ribosomal RNA
Rfam family: Bacterial small subunit ribosomal RNA
Source: RNAcentral